Molecule: ribosomal RNA, 579 nt
Filed under: Geastrum aculeatum
Lineage: Eukaryota; Fungi; Basidiomycota; Agaricomycetes; Geastrales; Geastraceae
Description: eukaryotic LSU rRNA
Rfam family: Eukaryotic large subunit ribosomal RNA
Source: RNAcentral
GGCGAGUGAAAGGGAACAGCUCAAAUUUGAAAUCUGGCGAUCUUUUGGUCGUCCGAGUUGUAAUCUAGAGAAGUGUUUUCCGCGCUGGACCGUGUUUAAGUCCUUUGGAACAGGGCGUCAUAGAGGGUGAGAAUCCCGUCUACGACACGGACGACCAGGGCUUUGUGAUACACUCUCAACGAGUCGGGUUGUUUGGGAAUGCAGCUCAAAAUGGGUGGUAAAUUCCAUCUAAAGCUAAAUACAGGCGAAAGACCGAUAGCGAACAAGUACCGUGAGGGAAAGAUGAAAAGCACUUUGAAAAGAGAGUUAAACAGUACGUGAAAUUGUUGAAAGGGAAACGCUUAAAGUCAGUCGCGUCUUCAGAAAUUCAGCCUGGUCUUUUGACCUGGUGUACUUUUCUGUUGGACGGGUCAGCAUCAGUUUCUGGUCGUCAGAGAAAGGUGGGAGGAAGGUGGCACCCUAUGGGUGUGUUAUAGCCUCUUAUCGUAUGUGGCGGCUGGGACUGAGGACUGCAGCACGCCUUUAUGGCCGGGGUUCGCCCACGUAACGUGCUUAGGAUGCUGGCGUAAUGGCUUUAAA